GAUGAACGCUGGCGGCGUGCCUAAUACAUGCAAGUAGAACGCUGAAGGAGGAGCUUGCUCUUCUGGAUGAGUUGCGAACGGGUGAGUAACGCGUAGGUAACCUGCCUGGUAGCGGGGGAUAACUAUUGGAAACGAUAGCUAAUACCGCAUGACAACAGUUAUUGCAUGAUAACUGUUUAAAAGGGGCAACUGCUCCACUACCAGAUGGACCUGCGUUGUAUUAGCUAGUUGGUGAGGUAACGGCUCACCAAGGCGACGAUACAUAGCCGACCUGAGAGGGUGAUCGGCCACACUGGGACUGAGACACGGCCCAGACUCCUACGGGAGGCAGCAGUAGGGAAUCUUCGGCAAUGGACGGAAGUCUGACCGAGCAAUGCCGCGUGAGUGAAGAAGGUUUUCGGAUCGUAAAGCUCUGUUGUAAGAGAAGAACGAGUGUGAGAGUGGAAAGUUCACACUGUGACGGUAUCUUACCAGAAAGGGACGGCUAACUACGUG
This 495-nucleotide ribosomal RNA is filed under the name uncultured bacterium. Its description in RNAcentral is "partial 16S ribosomal RNA". It matches the Rfam family "Bacterial small subunit ribosomal RNA", at positions 28 to 507 of the family's 1533-position model. The record is from RNAcentral.